Mus musculus (house mouse) is the source of this 1754-nucleotide long non-coding RNA. RefSeq annotates it as predicted gene, 40427. NCBI's taxonomy places the organism in Eukaryota, Metazoa, Chordata, Mammalia, Rodentia, Muridae. The transcript has 3 exons. The record is from RefSeq and is a predicted model, not a curated record.
UGUGAUCAGAAGAUCAUGUGCUGAAGAAAAUUUGAAGAUUUGAAAACUAAUAACUAUUGGUUCUGAUAAUUAGAAAAUAUUGCCAAAAGAAAGUGAAAAAUAAAAGGUGUACUGGAUGCAAUGUGGCCAGUUCUCUGAAGAUCCUGUUAUCUACCAUGGCCUGGCUAACCUGGCUAUGAGAUGCAGUCUUCUGUAUGUGACAUGGCUACUAAAGUCCCGAAGACACUACAGAUUGUAGAGCUGAUUGCCCUCAAAUUCAGAGUUCUUCCUGCUUCUGCCUACCAAGUGCUAGGAUUACAGACAUGAGCCACUACUGCUAUUUAUGGUAAUUCUUAGACAGGAUUUUAUGUUUGCUGCAUGCCUCAAUUUUCUAGUUUUUUCUAACAACUCCAACAAAGAUUUGCCUUAUGGUCUGAUAAGAAUUCUGGGAUGAUCGCUGCAAUGGCUAUUCUUGGUUGUCAACUUGACUGUAUCUGGAAUGCACUCCAAGCCAUAAAUAGAUAUACCUGUGAGCUACAUUCUACUUGGUUUGAAGAGGGUGAAUCCACUUCUAGUCUAAGCCUUUGGGGUAGGAAGACAAACCUUUGAUCUGGAUCUUGUGGCUGGAAGACAUACCUUUAAUCUGGUUAAAAGCCUAUAUACGGAAUGGAAGAAGGAAGCAUUCACUCUUUGUCUGAAUGCCCUUGCUAGCACAUCCAUACCUUCACUGGCAUUGGAAUCCACUUCUUUGGGACUCUGGCAUUAUACAGAAGACCAGCCGAGAUGCAUCCAGCUUUGUGGCACUGAGCAACUACUAGAUUCUUGGACUUUCCAUUCACAACUAACCACUGUUAGAUUAGUUAGACUGCAGCCUCUAAGUCAUUCCAAUGUAUAUAUAUAUAUAUGCAUUUCAUGUGUUCUCUGACUUUAGAGAACUAAUACAGGCACCAAAACAUUUUGAGGCCAUUGCUGAGAACUUUCUUUGCAUGGAUUCUUGGAGUAAAACAGUGAAUUUUGAUGAGGCUGUUUUUGAAAACUAUUGGGAAAUUAUGCAGUCUGGACAAGAAAAAAAAAGAGAGACAUUGCAUUUUCUGUUGUGUUUUCAAUCAAAUAUAGUGCUGUUAUAUUUCAAAACAAUAAUUUGAAUAGGAGAAUUUCAGCUGAUCUUUAAAGUCCCUCUGCUAAAGAAUUAUUAACGAGGUGAAAGGGACCUGGAAGCAGAAUCCUGUGGUAGGUGGUAGGGGCAGUAUUUGUGAAGCUCCUUCCCUAGAUAUAGGACAUGAUAUACGGACCAGGCAAGAGGCCUUCAGAGUAAAGACAGCUUUUAGUUUCAGAGAUUCAAGUUCUGAAGCUAAUGCUUAGAAGAAGGAAGGGCUGGAUUGCUGGGCAUACAUUCAACAUACCCAGCAAUGGCUGGUGAUUCUGACAUCCCUUGAGCUCAUAUUAUUUCACAAGUAUAAUGAAGAUAACACUUAAGACAUGAUUUAGCAGCUUAUGUAUUUUGAAAAGGGCUUUGUGCUUGUUUGAGAAAAUGGACAGGUAAGUGUUCUAAAACCUUCAUCAAGGUGAGCUUAGAAAGUUGGUUCGAGGCCGUCUAUUUUCAGCAUCUUAGGGAGGCAUGUGGAUCUAGAGUUUAAUUGCUUUUCUUGACGUAGAGGCUAACACUGCUCACAGCACUAGGAACUUUCCCAUGUAAAAGUCUUUGAACAUGUUUUUUGUUGUUGUUGUUUUGUUUUUGGUUUUUCAAGACAGGGUUUCUCUGUGUAGCUCUGGCU